Molecule: ribosomal RNA, 460 nt
Filed under: uncultured bacterium
Lineage: Bacteria
Description: partial 16S ribosomal RNA
Rfam family: Bacterial small subunit ribosomal RNA
Source: RNAcentral
CCUACGGGUGGCAGCAGUGAGGAAUAUUGGUCAAUGGACGAGAGUCUGAACCAGCCAAGUAGCGUGAAGGACGACUGCCCUAUGGGUUGUAAACUUCUUUUAUAUGGGAAUAAAAUGUUCCACGUGUGGGAUUUUGUAUGUACCAUAUGAAUAAGGAUCGGCUAACUCCGUGCCAGCAGCCGCGGUAAUACGGAGGAUCCGAGCGUUAUCCGGAUUGAUUGGGUUUAAAGGGAGCGUAGGUGGAUUGUUAAGUCAGUUGUGAAAGUUUGCGGCUCAACCGUAAAAUUGCAGUUGAAACUGGCAGUCUGGAGUACAGUAGAGGUGGGCGGAAUUCGUGGUGUAGCGGUGAAAUGCUUAGAUAUCACGAAGAACUCCGAUUGCGAAGGCAGCUCACUGGACUGCAACUGACACUGAGGCUCGAAAGUGUGGGUAUCAAACAGGAUUAGAUACCCGUGUAGUC